RNAcentral lists this long non-coding RNA (1153 nucleotides) under Mytilus galloprovincialis (Mediterranean mussel). Lineage: Eukaryota; Metazoa; Mollusca; Bivalvia; Mytilida; Mytilidae. The record is from RNAcentral.
GUAAUUUGUAUAAUAUACACGUAUAAAAAGUGAAGUAAUCUGGAGAAAAAGACUGAUCUAUGGUAAGUUUGUUUCCCUUAUAUAACAAGUUAACAUCAACAAGAACUAUCUUUAAAAAAGAUAUCCGACGUAUUUAAAUUUGAGUAUAUGUUUAAAACUAUCAUUUCGAUAACCUUAAGAGGCACAAAGAUACCAUUUAAAUAACGUUUUUUCUGUUUAUGUUCAGUAUUCUCGGUCCUCAUAUCUUUCGGUUUACAUUCACCAAAACCCCGCGGAAAUCUCACAUGCGUAGGUGCGUUCUAAAAGUCAUGUACGUUCGUACAACAAAGUUUACAUUAAAUAUUAUGAUUGUCCCGAAUAAACAGCUGUCACAGAUGCAAAGAGCUAUUGGAGAAACAAUUAUUUUAAUAAAAAUAUAAAUCUUUGUAAGAUCUAGUUCAAAUAUUUAUAGUUUUUCACUUGCUUUUCAUCACGAUAUAAUUAACGAGACGUUUUUUCAAACACAACCAAAUCACACACCAUGACAGCAUUUUGUCCAAUCACAGAAACGAUUUUCGAGCAUGCGUAUUCUGUUGCCAUAUAUAGUUAAGCGUCCUUAAGUUCAAAGGGCACAAACCGAAACUAAUACCGACUACGUCGGAAAAAUAUUUAAAAUAAAUAACCUAUUCUAUUCCCCCUAUGCCAAAAAGGGGGUAUUACAGUUAGUUGGACCACUGACAAAUUAAAGAUAUUCAAUUAGUUUUAAGUUCGUACCUUAAUUCAGACGGUUACAUAUCGUGAAACUUAUUGAUCAUUUUCUUUAAUAAGCAAAGUUGAAGUUAAGUUCAAAGAGUACAAAAAUAUCUAAUAUCAUUAAUGUAUUCUUCCAAAUCAGCACCUGCUUCAGUUCUACUCGCAAAAGCCUGUAACAUGUAGGUUUCACUAUUUCCCGUUAGAAUACGCAGUUCUUUACAUGUGCUUUGGUUGCCAAUGGAACAACUAACCUUUUAACCAACCUACAAAAGAUCCGAAAGAGUCUUCUGAAUGCAUCAAAAAUUUGGGAAUAACUCGAUGUUACAACAGAACCAGCACAACCCUUUCAAAUAGGAACAAGACAUUUGGUAUGACAUGUUUGAUGGAGGAACUCCUAUCAAUUCAUUUGUGAGAAACCCGC